AAGAAGGAGGUAUGCUGCCAGCUCCAGCCAAGGAUCAACCAAAGCCUGAGGCUGUGGGAGCUGGAGAUACUGCAAUCCAGGCAGAUACCAAGCUACCCAUAGAGGCCCUGAAGAGUCUGGAGUUGCCAGGGACUGCACAGACCAGGGAACCCAGAGACUGCAAAGAUGCCCAGAUUACAGAAGUGGGAACUAUGCUGAAAUUCUCUUUUGCCAUCAAAAGUUCUACAAGAGACAUUUCUAGAAGACCUCAGCUAACCACAAGAAAAAUGCAACAUUCUAAUGAUAGCAACUAGCAGAGUGAUGAUGGAGAAACUGCAACUUGAGCAAACACAGCCUGCAAAGUUGGCCAAGGGAUGUACCGCAGAAGGACCCAUGAAAAGCGACGCGCAGAGGACUUUAUGUUGCCUGCUAGCACACUGGGAAAAGACUAAUUGUGUCCGUCCUUUGCUCCACCUGCAUUUGUAGUCUCAAUUCCUGAUGUGAACAGGAACAGUUGAAAGCUGAUGGCUGAGCAAAAAACUGGCAAUAAGUAAACAGACUGACUUUCUCUUAUGUGACGUCCCAAACCAGUCACUUGACUACUUCCUCAAACCGGGUACCUGAUAAGUAAGGAAGCAUACAUGCUUCUGUAUCUGCUUUAAAGAUUGCCACAGAGUUAGCGUAUUGUUCUUUUGUAACAGGUUAACUGAGACUGUGAAACUCUGUGGUUUCAUGCUGUCUUUCAAGUUCUAGGUGUAUACAGACAUAAAAUGAGACCAUGUGUGCAAGUCUCUUGAACUGCACUCAGUCUAUACAGUUUGUCUUAAAUGUAGGACCAUAUGUUAGAUAGGAGUGUUUAAUCAGAUCCUGGGGCUAAUAUAAUUCAUUGGGAAGUAAGUUAAAAGAGUUGAUUACUGUAAAUCCAUUGGGAAGGAGACCUUGGUGAAUUGGCAUGUAAGUAAUUGAUCAAAUUGUCUUAUGGUUUAGCUAUGGCUGGCUCUUCCUCCAUUGUGUUCGCAACACCUGAGUUGAUAACCAACUGGCACAAGUGAGGGACUCAGUCUAAUAUCUAAACAAAAUCACCUUUCCAGGACAGCGGUUGAUUAUAAAGUGUUAUUUUCUAUUGUGGUUGUGGUGUUUGAUUCUGAAAACCUGGAUGGUUAUCGUAUCAACCAAUUUUCUAGUUUAGGCUAGCAAAAUCCAAGCCCAAUACUAUUUUUGCUUUCUUAUGCCUUACGUUAGUAGUUGAUGUUAAGGGUAGUUAAUAA
Chelonia mydas (Green sea turtle) is the source of this 1247-nucleotide long non-coding RNA. RefSeq lists it as uncharacterized. The record is from RefSeq and is a predicted model, not a curated record. NCBI's taxonomy places the organism in Eukaryota, Metazoa, Chordata, Testudines, Cheloniidae. The transcript is spliced from 4 exons.